UCAGGAUGAACGCUAGCUACAGGCUUAACACAUGCAAGUCGUGGGCAGCAUGGUGUUGCUGCAACAACCGAUGGCGACCGGCGCACGGGUGAGUAACGCGUAUCCAACCUGGCCCUUAGUAGGGGAUAGCCCGGCGAAAGUCGGAUUAAUACCCUAUGUUUUCCCAUGAGAGCAUUUGAAAGGGAACAAAGAUUCAUCGCUAGGGGAUGGGGAUGCGUCCGAUUAGCUUGCCGGCGGGGUAACGGCCCACCGGGGCGACGAUCGGUAGGGGUUCUGAGAGGAAGGUCCCCCACAUUGGAACUGAGACACGGUCCAAACUCCUACGGGAGGCAGCAGUGAGGAUAUUGGUCAAUGGGCGAGAGCCUGAACCAGCCAAAAGUAGCGUGAGGGAUGACGGCCCUACGGGUUGUAAACCUCUUUUGUACGGGAAUAAAGUGCGCCACGCGUGGCGUUUUGUAUGUACCGUAAGAAUAAGGACCGGCUAAUUCCGUGCCAGCAGCGGC
RNAcentral lists this ribosomal RNA (503 nucleotides) under uncultured bacterium. RNAcentral describes it as "bacterial SSU rRNA". It matches the Rfam family "Bacterial small subunit ribosomal RNA", at positions 24 to 518 of the family's 1533-position model. The record is from RNAcentral.